UCCCUAGUGGUCCAGUGGUUAAAGACUCUGUGCUCCUAAUGCAGGGGGCCCGGGUUCGAUCCCUGGUCAGGGAA
Non-coding RNA from Orcinus orca (killer whale), 74 nucleotides. The record is from the annotation of a RefSeq genome assembly. NCBI's taxonomy places the organism in Eukaryota, Metazoa, Chordata, Mammalia, Artiodactyla, Delphinidae.